RNAcentral lists this long non-coding RNA (685 nucleotides) under Marmota monax (woodchuck). The record is from RNAcentral. Lineage: Eukaryota; Metazoa; Chordata; Mammalia; Rodentia; Sciuridae.
AAACAGAUAUCCUAAGAUGGAGAUCCAUCAAAGAGAAACAAGAGCCAAAGGAGAGAGCACCCAAUAACUCAAAACUGGAACAGCUUAAGAAAAAAAAAAAUAUAUUGAAUUAUAACUCAAAGUACAAAUACCUAUGAAUUUAUACUGAUAAGAAUAAAUAAUUGAAUGAGUGAAGAAAUGAAUAAAUGAAUAAGUAAAUAGCACUGGGGACCAUUCUCUCUCUCUUGAAAAGAAUUUUGAAUAAUUUAUGUAGAUACUACAAUUUCAGGAAAAUGAAAUUUUUUCUCUUCACUCCUCAAGUGUGAACUGUACACAAUGAAUUCAUUUAAAAAAACUAUAGUGUACUAAAAAAGAAAAAAAUAUAUAAUGUUACAGUGGAGAAUCUUGCCAAACACUACCUCUGUCAUGUCAUUAGCUUAAUAUCAUUAGUAGUAAGUCAUAUUGAUAGAAAGUUCUUUUGGUAUGAUGUGAUGCAGCACUCUAUCUCUGUGGUCAUCCCCAAAAUGCAUAAUUCCAAUCUAAACAUGAGUAAACUACCAUAGAAUGCCAAUUGUGGGACAUUCUAUAAAAUAUUUGAACAUUCCUCCUCAAAAAUAUCAAAUUGUAAAAAAUAAGGAUGUCAAAUUCUAAAAUACUGUAACAAUCAAGGGAAGAUUAAAGAGAAACAACAAUUAAAUAUAAUGGA